CUAGUAACUGCGAGUGAAGCGGGAAGAGCUCAAAUUUGAAAUCUGGCGGUCUCCGGCCGUCCGAGUUGUAAUCUAGAGAAGUGUUACCCGCGCCGGACCGUGCAUAAGUCUCCUGGAACGGAGCGUCGCAGAGGGUGAGAAUCCCGUCUUUGGCACGGACUCCCGGGGCUUUGUGGUGCGCUCUCGAAGAGUCGAGUUGUUUGGGAAUGCAGCUCAAAAUGGGUGGUAAAUUCCAUCUAAAGCUAAAUAUUGGCGAGAGACCGAUAGCGAACAAGUACCGUGAGGGAAAGAUGAAAAGCACUUUGGAAAGAGAGUUAAACAGUACGUGAAAUUGUUGAAAGGGAAACGCUUGAAGUCAGUCGCGUCGGCCGGGGAUCAACCUUGCAAUCCUGCGGGGCGUACUUCCCGGUCGACGGGUCAGCAUCAGUUUCGACCGCCGGAGAAGGGUCAGGGGAAUGUGGCACCCUCGGGUGUGUUAUAGCCCCUGGUCGCAUGCGACGGUCGGGACUGAGGAACUCAGCGCGCCGCAAGGCCGGGUCCUCGGACCACGUUCGCGCUUAGGAUGCUGGCGUAAUGGCUUUAAUCGACCCGUCUUGAAACACGGACCAAGGAGUCUAACAUGCCUGCGAGUGUUUGGGUGGAAAACCCAUGCGCGCAAUGAAAGUGAAAGUUGAGACCUCUGUCGUGGAGGGCAUCGACGCCCGGACCUGAGCUUCUGCGACGGAUCCGCGGUGGAGCAUGCAUGUUGGGACCCGAAAGAUGGUGAACUAUGCCUGAAUAGGGUGAAGCCAGAGGAAACUCUGGUGGAGGCUCGUAGCGAUUCUGACGUGCAAAUCGAUCGUCGAAUUUGGGUAU
This 855-nucleotide ribosomal RNA is filed under the name Volvariella sp. Its description in RNAcentral is "partial large subunit ribosomal RNA". It matches the Rfam family "Eukaryotic large subunit ribosomal RNA", at positions 80 to 918 of the family's 3401-position model. The record is from RNAcentral. Lineage: Eukaryota; Fungi; Basidiomycota; Agaricomycetes; Agaricales; Pluteaceae.